This 271-nucleotide ribosomal RNA is filed under the name uncultured bacterium. RNAcentral describes it as "partial 16S ribosomal RNA". It matches the Rfam family "Bacterial small subunit ribosomal RNA", at positions 524 to 794 of the family's 1533-position model. The record is from RNAcentral.
UACGUAGGGGGCAAGCGUUGUCCGGAUUUAUUGGGCGUAAAGAGCUCGUAGGCGGCCUGGUAAGUCGGAUGUGAAAGCCCGAGGCUCAACCUCGGAAUUGCAUUCGAUACUGCUGGGCUUGAGGCAGGUAGGGGAGGAUGGAAUUCCCGGUGUAGCGGUGGAAUGCGCAGAUAUCGGGAGGAACACCUGCGGCGAAGGCGGCUCUCUGGGACGGUACUGACGCUGAGACGCGAAAGCGUGGGGAGCGAACAGGAUUAGAUACCCCGGUAGU